GGCCUACCAUGCAAGUCGAGCGGAUGACGGGAGCUUGCUCCUUGAUUCAGCGGCGGACGGGUGAGUAAUGCCUAGGAAUCUGCCUGGUAGUGGGGGACAACGUUUCGAAAGGAACGCUAAUACCGCAUACGUCCUACGGGAGAAAGCAGGGGACCUUCGGGCCUUGCGCUAUCAGAUGAGCCUAGGUCGGAUUAGCUAGUAGGUGAGGUAAUGGCUCACCUAGGCGACGAUCCGUAACUGGUCUGAGAGGAUGAUCAGUCACACUGGAACUGAGACACGGUCCAGACUCCUACGGGAGGCAGCAGUGGGGAAUAUUGGACAAUGGGCGAAAGCCUGAUCCAGCCAUGCCGCGUGUGUGAAGAAGGUCUUCGGAUUGUAAAGCACUUUAAGUUGGGAGGAAGGGCAGUAAGCUAAUACCUUGCUGUUUUGACGUUACCGACAGAAUAAGCACCGGCUAACUCUGUGCCAGCAGCCGCGGUAAUACAGAGGGUGCAAGCGUUAAUCGGAAUUACUGGGCGUAAAGCGCGCGUAGGUGGUUCGUUAAGUUGGAUGUGAAAGCCCCGGGCUCAACCUGGGAACUGCAUCCAAAACUGGCGAGCUAGAGUAUGGUAGAGGGUGGUGGAAUUUCCUGUGUAGCGGUGAAAUGCGUAGAUAUAGGAAGGAACACCAGUGGCGAAGGCGACCACCUGGACUGAUACUGACACUGAGGUGCGAAAGCGUGGGGAGCAAACAGGAUUAGAUACCUGGGUAGUCCA
Molecule: ribosomal RNA, 755 nt
Filed under: Pseudomonas mosselii
Lineage: Bacteria; Pseudomonadati; Pseudomonadota; Gammaproteobacteria; Pseudomonadales; Pseudomonadaceae
Description: bacterial SSU rRNA
Rfam family: Bacterial small subunit ribosomal RNA
Source: RNAcentral